RNAcentral lists this ribosomal RNA (512 nucleotides) under uncultured bacterium. RNAcentral's name for it is "partial 16S ribosomal RNA". It matches the Rfam family "Bacterial small subunit ribosomal RNA", at positions 28 to 523 of the family's 1533-position model. The record is from RNAcentral.
GACGAACGCUGGCGGCGUGCCUAAUACAUGCAAGUCGAGCGGAACUGGGGGAGCUUGCUCCUUCCAGUUUAGCGGCGGACGGGUGAGUAACACGUAGGCAACCUGCCCUGCAGAUCGGGAUAACUCCGGGAAACCGGUGCUAAUACCGAAUAGUUUGGCGCCUCUCCUGAGGCGCCACGGAAAGACGGUCUCGGCUGUCACUGCAGGAUGGGCCCGCGGCGCAUUAGCUAGUUGGUGGGGUAACGGCCCACCAAGGCGACGAUGCGUAGCCGACCUUGGAGGGUGACCGGCCACACUGGGACUGAGACACGGCCCAGACUCCUACGGGAGGCAGCAGUAGGGAAUCUUCCGCAAGGGACGCAAGUCUGACGGAGCAACGCCGCGUGAGUGACGAAGGUUUUCGGAUCGUAAAACUCUGUUGUGAGGGAAGAACACGUACCAACUAACUAUUGGUACCUUGACGGUACCUCACCAGAAAGCCACGGCUAACUACGUGCCAGCAGCCGCAGUAA